This 637-nucleotide ribosomal RNA is filed under the name uncultured bacterium. RNAcentral describes it as "bacterial SSU rRNA". It matches the Rfam family "Bacterial small subunit ribosomal RNA", at positions 607 to 1244 of the family's 1533-position model. The record is from RNAcentral.
GCUCAACCGAAGAAGUGCAUCGGAAACUGGGAAACUUGAGUGCAGAAGAGGACAGUGGAACUCCAUGGGUAGCGGUGAAAUGCGUAGAUAUAUGGAAGAACACCAGUGGCGAAGGCGGCUGUCUGGUCUGUAACUGACGCUGAGGCUCGAAAGUAUGGGUAGCAAACAGGAUUAGAUACCCUGGUAGUCCAUACCGUAAACGAUGAAUGCUAAGUGUUGGAGGGUUUCCGCCCUUCAGUGCUGCAGCUAACGCAUUAAGCAUUCCGCCUGGGGAGUACGGCCGCAAGGCUGAAACUCAAAGGAAUUGACGGGGGCCCGCACAAGCGGUGGAGCAUGUGGUUUAAUUCGAAGCUACGCGAAGAACCUUACCAGGUCUUGACAUACUAUGCAAAUCUAAGAGAUUAGACGUUCCCUUCGGGGACAUGGAUACAGGUGGUGCAUGGUUGUCGUCAGCUCGUGUCGUGAGAUGUUGGGUUAAGUCCCGCAACGAGCGCAACCCUUAUUAUCAGUUGCCAGCAUUAAGUUGGGCACUCUGGUGAGACUGCCGGUGACAAACCGGAGGAAGGUGGGGAUGACGUCAAAUCAUCAUGCCCCUUAUGACCUGGGCUACACACGUGCUACAAUGGAUGGUACAACG